CCUACGGGGGGCAGCAGUGGGGAAUAUUGCACAAUGGGCGCAAGCCUGAUGCAGCCAUGCCGCGUGUGUGAAGAAGGCCUUGGGGUUGUAAAGCACUUUCAGCGGGGAGGAAGGCGCUAAGGUUAAUAACCUUGUCGAUUGACGUUACCCGCAGAAGAAGCACCGGCUAACUCCGUGCCAGCAGCCGCGGUAAUACGGAGGGUGCAAGCGUUAAUCGGAAUUACUGGGCGUAAAGCGCACGCAGGCGGUCUGUCAAGUCGGAUGUGAAAUCCCCGGGCUCAACCUGGGAACUGCAUUCGAAACUGGCAGGCUAGAGUCUUGGAGAGGGGGGUAGAAUUCCAGGUGUAGCGGUGAAAUGCGUAGAGAUCUGGAGGAAUACCGGUGGCGAAGGCGGCCCCCUGGACAAAGACUGACGCUCAGGUGCGAAAGCGUGGGGAGCAAACAGGAUUAAAUACCCUAGUAGUC
Molecule: ribosomal RNA, 465 nt
Filed under: uncultured Klebsiella sp.
Lineage: Bacteria; Pseudomonadati; Pseudomonadota; Gammaproteobacteria; Enterobacterales; Enterobacteriaceae
Description: bacterial SSU rRNA
Rfam family: Bacterial small subunit ribosomal RNA
Source: RNAcentral